Molecule: non-coding RNA, 78 nt
Organism: Branchiostoma floridae (Florida lancelet)
Lineage: Eukaryota; Metazoa; Chordata; Leptocardii; Amphioxiformes; Branchiostomatidae
Source: Rfam
GCACUGGGGUGUGUUCCCACCUUCUGAUGUUGUUUAGUCAUGUGAUACAACAUCCCAGGGCGGGGCACAUCCCAGGCU